Molecule: ribosomal RNA, 253 nt
Filed under: uncultured bacterium
Lineage: Bacteria
Description: partial 16S ribosomal RNA
Rfam family: Bacterial small subunit ribosomal RNA
Source: RNAcentral
UACGUAGGGCGCAAGCGUUGUCCGGAAUUAUUGGGCGUAACGAGCUCGUAGGCGGCUUGUCACGUCGAUUGUGAAAGCCCGAGGCUUAACCUCGGGUCUGCAGUCGAUACGGGCUAGCUAGAGUGUGGUAGGGGAGAUCGGAAUUCCUGGUGUAGCGGUGAAAUGCGCAGAUAUCAGGAGGAACACCGGUGGCGAAGGCGGAUCUCUGGGCCAUUACUGACGCUGAGGAGCGAAAGCGUGGGGAGCGAACAGG